RNAcentral lists this unclassified non-coding RNA (410 nucleotides) under Hevea brasiliensis (rubber tree). Lineage: Eukaryota; Viridiplantae; Streptophyta; Magnoliopsida; Malpighiales; Euphorbiaceae. The record is from RNAcentral.
CCAACUGUUUGGCAACUCCGACCCGACAUUGAAAUGGUUGCCAUCAUAUUCUCGGCCAUAUUUGGUAGUGUGGUUCGCAUUGGAGUCCAUGUAUGGUGUUUGGAAAGGAAAGGGCCAGUUUAUGUUGCAAUGUUCAAGCCCCUUGGCAUGGUCGUCGCCAUCCCCUUGGUUGUCAUCUUUCUUCAUGAACCGCUUUAUCUUGGCAGUGUGAUGGGUUCGAUUGUGAUUGGGUGUGGAUUUUAUAGUGUGAUAUGGGGGCAGAUGAAACAACUAGACUUGGCCAUGGCCUUACCUUCUUCUACUUCUGAAUCACCAUCUGCCUCGCUCUUGCUUCACCAACACUCUUAAAUUAUCCACUUUCCAUUCUCAUUUAUGGAUAUGGUAAAUAUUUAAUUACUUCAAAAGAAAAA